GGGGGGAUCGUUAGUCGGAAUACUGCGGCGUAAGCGCACGCAGGCGGUCUGUCAAGUCGGAUGUGAAAUCCCCGGGCUCAACCUGGGAACUGCAUUCGAAACUGGCAGGCUAGAGUCUUGUAGAGGGGGGUAGAAUUCCAGGUGUAGCGGUGAAAUGCGUAGAGAUCUGGAGGAAUACCGGUGGCGAAGGCGGCCCCCUGGACAAAGACUGACGCUCAGGUGCGAAAGCGUGGGGAGCAAACAGGAUUAGAUACCCUGGUAGUCCACGCCGUAAACGAUGUCGAUUUGGAGGUUGUGCCCUUGAGGCGUGGCUUCCGGAGCUAACGCGUUAAAUCGACCGCCUGGGGAGUACGGCCGCAAGGUUAAAACUCAAAUGAAUUGACGGGGGCCCGCACAAGCGGUGGAGCAUGUGGUUUAAUUCGAUGCAACGCGAAGAACCUUACCUGGUCUUGACAUCCACAGAACUUAGCAGAGAUGCUUUGGUGCCUUCGGGAACUGUGAGACAGGUGCUGCAUGGCUGUCGUCAGCUCGUGUUGUGAAAUGUUGGGUUAAGUCCCGCAACGAGCGCAACCCUUAUCCUUUGUUGCCAGCGGUUAGGCCGGGAACUCAAAGGAGACUGCCAGUGAUAAACUGGAGGAAGGUGGGGAUGACGUCAAGUCAUCAUGGCCCUUACGACCAGGGCUACACACGUGCUACAAUGGCAUAUACAAAGAGAAGCGACCUCGCGAGAGCAAGCGGACCUCAUAAAGUAUGUCGUAGUCCGGAUUGGAGUCUGCAACUCGACUCCAUGAAGUCGGAAUCGCUAGUAAUCGUAGAUCAGAAUGCUACGGUGAAUACGUUCCCGGGCCUUGUACACACCGCCCGUCACACCAUGGGGAGUGGGUUGCAAAAGAAGUAGGUAGCUUAACCUUCGGGAGGGCGCUUACCACUUUGUGAUCCUGAUGGGUGACGAUAGGCAGAACCCCCCCCCCACAAAAAAAGGGGGAAAAAAAAAAAGG
RNAcentral lists this ribosomal RNA (998 nucleotides) under Klebsiella pneumoniae. RNAcentral's name for it is "bacterial SSU rRNA". It matches the Rfam family "Bacterial small subunit ribosomal RNA", at positions 531 to 1533 of the family's 1533-position model. The record is from RNAcentral. Lineage: Bacteria; Pseudomonadati; Pseudomonadota; Gammaproteobacteria; Enterobacterales; Enterobacteriaceae.